UACCUGGGAGACUGAGGUUGGA
This 22-nucleotide microRNA is filed under the name Homo sapiens (human). Its description in RNAcentral is "hsa-miR-7851-3p". The record is from miRBase by way of RNAcentral. Lineage: Eukaryota; Metazoa; Chordata; Mammalia; Primates; Hominidae.